GACGAACGCUGGCGGCGUGCCUAAUACAUGCAAGUUGAGCGCUGAAGGUUGGUACUUGUACCAACUGGAUGAGCAGCGAACGGGUGAGUAACGCGUGGGGAAUCUGCCUUUGAGCGGGGGACAACAUUUGGAAACGAAUGCUAAUACCGCAUAAAAACUUUAAACACAAGUUUUAAGUUUGAAAGAUGCAAUUGCAUCACUCAAAGAUGAUCCCGCGUUGUAUUAGCUAGUUGGUGAGGUAAAGGCUCACCAAGGCGAUGAUACAUGGCCGACCUGAGAGGGUGAUCGGCCACAGUGGGACUGAGACACGGCCCAAACUCCUACGGGAGGCAGCAGUAGGGAAUCUUCGGCAAUGGACGAAAGUCUGACCGAGCAACGCCGCGUGAGUGAAGAAGGUUUUCGGAUCGUAAAACUCUGUUGGUAGAGAAGAACGUUGGUGAGAGUGGAAAGCUCAUCAAGUGACGGUAACUAACCAGAAAGGGACGGCUAACUACGUG
This 497-nucleotide ribosomal RNA is filed under the name uncultured bacterium. RNAcentral's name for it is "partial 16S ribosomal RNA". It matches the Rfam family "Bacterial small subunit ribosomal RNA", at positions 28 to 507 of the family's 1533-position model. The record is from RNAcentral.